CCUACGGGGGGCUGCAGUGGGGAAUAUUGGACAAUGGGGGGAACCCUGAUCCAGCCAUGCCGCGUGUGUGAAGAAGGCCCUCGGGUUGGAAAGCACUUUCAGUGAGGAAGAACGCCUGGUGGUUAAUACCCAUCAGGAAAGACAUCACUCACAGAAGAAGCACCGGCUAACUCCGUGCCAGCAGCCGCGGUAAUACGGAGGGUGCGAGCGUUAAUCGGAAUUACUGGGCGUAAAGCGCGCGUAGGUGGCUUGAUAAGCCGGUUGUGAAAGCCCCGGGCUCAACCUGGGAACGGCAUCCGGAACUGUCAAGCUAGAGUGCAGGAGAGGAAGGUAGAAUUCCCGGUGUAGCGGUGAAAUGCGUAGAGAUCGGGAGGAAUACCAGUGGCGAAGGCGGCCUUCUGGACUGACACUGACACUGAGGUGCGAAAGCGUGGGUAGCAAACAGGAUUAGAUACCCUGGUAGUC
This 465-nucleotide ribosomal RNA is filed under the name Vreelandella stevensii. RNAcentral describes it as "partial 16S ribosomal RNA". It matches the Rfam family "Bacterial small subunit ribosomal RNA", at positions 338 to 795 of the family's 1533-position model. Lineage: Bacteria; Pseudomonadati; Pseudomonadota; Gammaproteobacteria; Oceanospirillales; Halomonadaceae. The record is from RNAcentral.